RNAcentral lists this transfer RNA (68 nucleotides) under Austrosimulium sp. Its description in RNAcentral is "tRNA-Pro". Lineage: Eukaryota; Metazoa; Arthropoda; Insecta; Diptera; Simuliidae. The record is from RNAcentral.
UCAGAAAAUAGUUUAUUUAAAAUAUUAAUUUUGGAGAUUAAUGAUAAAGAGUUUUCUUUUUUUCUGAU